CAAUAGCGUAUAUUUAAGUUGUUGCAGUUAAAAAGCUCGUAGUCGGAUUUUGGCUGAGAACGAUCGGUCCGCCGUUAGGUGUGCACUGAUUGGUCUCAGCUUCCUGGUGAGGAGGUGUGCUUCACGGCCACUUAGUCACCGUGGUUACUUUGAAAAAAUUAGAGUGUUCAAAGCGGGCUUACGCUUGAAUAUAUUAGCAUGGAAUAACACCAUAGGACUCCUGUCCUAUUUCGUUGGUCUCGGGACGGGAGUAAUGAUUAAGAGGAACAGUUGGGGGCAUUCGUAUUUCAUUGUCAGGGGUGAAAUUCUUGGAUUUAUGAAAGACGAACUUCUGCGAAAGCAUUUGCCAAGGAUGUUUUCAUUGA
This 365-nucleotide ribosomal RNA is filed under the name uncultured eukaryote. RNAcentral describes it as "partial 18S ribosomal RNA". It matches the Rfam family "Eukaryotic small subunit ribosomal RNA", at positions 592 to 976 of the family's 1831-position model. The record is from RNAcentral.